AAUUUCUUCACAAUAACUGGAGAAACUAGGUGAUCUGGUGCCUUAUAUAAACUCACCUUAGCGUCAACUAACUUAAUUAAACCAUAACCAACACUCUUCCUAGCUCC
Molecule: small RNA, 107 nt
Filed under: Saccharolobus solfataricus
Lineage: Archaea; Thermoproteati; Thermoproteota; Thermoprotei; Sulfolobales; Sulfolobaceae
Description: ncRNA Sso-24
Source: RNAcentral